AAGUCGUAACAAGGUUUCCGUAGGUGAACCUGCGGAAGGAUCAUUAUUGAAUGAACUUAGAGUCGGUUGUCGCUGGCUGUCUUUGGCAGCAUGUGCACGCCUUCUCUAUUCAUCCACACACCCCUGUGCACUUGUGAGACUGGAGGCCGUAAAAAGCCUUCAGUCUGCUAAAUUCAUAUACAAACUCAUUUAAUUGAACUGAAUGUACUUGAUGUAACGCAUCAUUAAACUAAGUUUCAACAACGGAUCUCUUGGCUCUC
Molecule: unclassified non-coding RNA, 260 nt
Filed under: Rhizoctonia sp.
Lineage: Eukaryota; Fungi; Basidiomycota; Agaricomycetes; Cantharellales; Ceratobasidiaceae
Also listed under: 1 other name
Description: partial internal transcribed spacer region
Rfam family: Eukaryotic small subunit ribosomal RNA (bases 1-46)
Source: RNAcentral